AAAAUAAGUGGAUUUUUUAUGCAAAAAGGCCUUAUAUGUAUGUGAAAACUUUAAUAAUGCAGCGUUUGGUUAGAAAAUAAAAAUAGAAAAAGAUCCUUAUCUUCCUCUUUAUAUCCAAACAUUAAUUUUUUUAUCCAAGAAUAAUAGUUUUCGGUUAUCUCUAUCAAUACCUUCAUUGUUAUAUAAAACUAUCUAAAAUUGUUCUUAUCCUCGGAAACAACCUAAUUUUCAUCAAAACAUUAUUUUUCUUAUUCCCAUACUUGUACCUAUUCCUGUAAUAACUAGUUCUUGCUAAAAAUCUUUUACUGGUCAAAUAAUGUAAACUCUUACGUCCUUCAACUCAAACGCAUGAAUUCGCACGAUAAUCUCUUAUUAUAUUGUACAUUUACAUAGCAAAAAUUCAAAUUUGAUAAUUUUAAUAUUUAUCACAGGUUCAUUGGCUCAAUCCCUUAAAUAAUUGCUCGGUACCAGUUACCGACCGCCUCUAGAGCAAGUGGCAAAGAGUUUGGUGGUUGAUAUCCGAGAUUCAAGUUUGAAUCCUAAUUGAUUCACAUUUUCAGCUAAAUUUAUUUUUAAAUGAAAUAAAUGAAACAAGUAACGUGCUAGCUAUCUCUAAAAAAAAAAAAAAAAAAAAAUUGCUCGCUACCAGUUACUCGAUAUCCAUAUAUAAGGGCAAUGUUGUCUCCUUAUUAGCUAGUAUGAGACGAGAGGGGAUUGUGAUUCCCAUCUCUUCUCCCGAUAUUAGACAACUGUCUCUCCCAUUAUUUGUUAUUUGUUAUUUCCAUCCCUUAAAUAAAUGCACUACCGCAUUUGUUAAUGUGUACGUCAAAAUCUUAGGUAUCGUUUGGUUCGGGGAUAAGCAAAAAGUGGAUAUUCCGGAGAUAGGUAUAAAUUGAGGUAUAAGCGGGGAUUAGAUGAAUUUUGCGUUUGGAUGAAAAUUGAGUAUUCCUGAGAAUAAGAAAAAUAACGUUUGGUUAGGUAAGACGGGAUAAGAAUUAAAAUGAGUAUUUAUAAAUAAAAAAUAAUGAUAUUAUUUUUUUCUUUAUAUUAGAAUUUAAAUUUUUAUAUUUUAUAUUUAUAUUUUAAAAUUUAAAAUAUAAACUUUUAAAGUUUAAAAAUUAAAAUUAAAAUUUAAAAUUUUAAAAUCUCAAAUUUAUAAUUUUAAAAAAUUAAUUUUUUAAAUUUUGAACUUUAAUUUAAGAUGAAAUUUUAAUUUAAAAAUACAAAAUAUCAUAUUCUAAAUAUAAAAAAAUUAAAAUAUCAAAAUUUAAAAUUUUAAAUUAAACAAUUUAAAAUUUAAAUUUUUAAUUUUGUAAUUUUAAAAUUAUAAAUUUUAAUUUUUGAAUUUAGAAAAUUUAAAUUUUACUGGUGGAACAAGCAAGGUGAUCCUAAAAAUACUUUCUUUAAAAUUCAAAAAUU
Molecule: long non-coding RNA, 1419 nt
Filed under: Ananas comosus (pineapple)
Lineage: Eukaryota; Viridiplantae; Streptophyta; Magnoliopsida; Poales; Bromeliaceae
Description: long non-coding RNA (ACOM_LNC004352)
Source: RNAcentral